This is a non-coding RNA of Vigna umbellata (rice bean), 621 nucleotides long. The record is from RefSeq and is a predicted model, not a curated record. NCBI's taxonomy places the organism in Eukaryota, Viridiplantae, Streptophyta, Magnoliopsida, Fabales, Fabaceae.
AUCUAAGGGACAACGUUCCCUUCACACAUGAUAUCAAUGAUCCUGUCAACAAUUCUACAAAACAUCCAAAAUUCUCCUGCAUACAAGAACCCCCCUACUAUAUAAAAAAAACUCACUCAUCCUAACAAUCUGACUAACAACUACUUUUUGAUAUGUUACUUCCUAACAUACACAUUACAUAUCCUAUAAUAAUCUGAAAAGGUUUUAGAUAUAUUCUGACAAUCUACAUGAUGCUUCUAUUGUAGGUUGGCUAUGUGACAACCAUAUGUUUUUUAUGUUUCCUUGUCAGAUGCAUUAUGAUGUGCUUUAAUGCAUUUAAUAAAGAUGCGAACCUUGAUGUCCUUGAUCACCCAAUUCUAAACUUCAUAUAUUACCUGUUGGUGGAAAUAGUGCCUUCUUCUUUGGUCCUUUUCAUCUUGAGGAAGCUUCCACCAAAGCGUGGUAUAACGCAAUAUCACCCAAUUCGCUGAAGAGGGCAUUAUAAUUCACUAUUUUAUUGGAUGAUUAUAAAAGUCCUAGGUAAUUUUUUAGAUAGAGACAAGUCAGUGUUCAAUGUACCGGUGUCAAAGCUUGUAUCAUGGAACGUGAUAUAUAUAUAUAUUGAAUGUAUUCUCAACCGUA